CAAUAGCGUAUAUUAAAGCUGUUGCGGUUAAAAAGCUCGUAGUUGGAUUUCUGUCAAGGACAACUGGUCCGCCCUCCGGGUGAGCACAUAGUUUGGUCUUGGCAUCUUGCUGGAAACUGUUGCUGCGCUUGGUUGUGUGGUGCAGCUUUCAGCACUUUCACUUUGAGGAAAUUGGAGUGUUUCAAGCAGGCACAUGCCUUUGGACACAGUAGCAUGGAAUAAUUAGAUUGGGCUUUUGCUCCAACUUGUUGGUUCCUGGAGCUGAGGUGAGAAUCAAUGGGGAUUGUUGGGGGCAUCCGAAUUUAGCCGUCAGAGGUGAAAUUCUUGGAUCUGCUAAAGACGGACAACUGCGAAAGCGUUUGCCCAGGAUGUUUUCGUUGA
RNAcentral lists this ribosomal RNA (381 nucleotides) under uncultured eukaryote. RNAcentral describes it as "partial 18S ribosomal RNA". It matches the Rfam family "Eukaryotic small subunit ribosomal RNA", at positions 592 to 976 of the family's 1831-position model. The record is from RNAcentral.